Long non-coding RNA from Sapajus apella (tufted capuchin), 487 nucleotides. RefSeq lists it as uncharacterized. The record is from RefSeq and is a predicted model, not a curated record. The transcript has 2 exons. NCBI's taxonomy places the organism in Eukaryota, Metazoa, Chordata, Mammalia, Primates, Cebidae.
GUCCUCCCCCUUCACCCUUCUGUGUAGCUGGGACAACAGAUCCCAAGGACACUCACAUCAUCAUCAGCUGGAUGAUUGCACAGACUGCCACUGCCAUUGCUGGGUUGACUUCCUAUCCAUUUGACACUGUUCGCUGCCACAGGAUGAUGCACAAAGGAACUGAUACGUACACAGGCAUGCUCGACUGCUGGAGGAAGACUGCCUGUGAUGAAAGAGGCAAAGAUUUCUUCAUGGUCCAAUGUUCUUAGAGGCAUGGGUGGUGCUUUUGUGCUUGUCUUGUGUGAUGAAAUCAAGAAGUACACCUAAGUUAUUUCCUAGAAAUUCCCCCUCUGUGAACACGCAUGUUGUAUUAUAUAGCGUAUCUUGAGCAUUCUUGACAGACUCCUGGCUGUCAAUUUAUCAGUGGCAACUAUUUACUGGUUGAAAAUGGGAAGCAAUAAUAUUCAUCUGACCAGUUUUCUCAUAAAGCCAUUUCCAUGAUGAUGAU